GGGGAAUAUUGGACAAUGGGCGAAAGCCUGAUCCAGCAAUGCCGCGUGAGUGAUGAAGGCCUUAGGGUUGUAAAGCUCUUUUACCCGGGAUGAUAAUGACAGUACCGGGAGAAUAAGCUCCGGCUAACUCCGUGCCAGCAGCCGCGGUAAUACGGGGGGGGCAAGCGUUGUUCGGAAUCACUGGGCGUAAAGGGCGCGUAGGCGGCCCGGUAAGUCAAAGGUGAAAUCCCUCGGCUCAACUGAGGAACUGCCUUUGAAACUGUCGGGCUUGAGGCCGGGAGGGGGUAGCGGAAUUCCCAGUGUAGCGGUGAAAUGCGUAGAUAUUGGGAGGAACACCGGUGGCGAAGGCGGCUACCUGGACCGGUUCUGACGCUGAUGCGCGAAAGCGUGGGUAGCAAA
This 399-nucleotide ribosomal RNA is filed under the name uncultured bacterium. Its description in RNAcentral is "bacterial SSU rRNA". It matches the Rfam family "Bacterial small subunit ribosomal RNA", at positions 356 to 772 of the family's 1533-position model. The record is from RNAcentral.